This 949-nucleotide non-coding RNA is filed under the name Chelmon rostratus (copperband butterflyfish). Its description in RNAcentral is "12S ribosomal RNA". It matches the Rfam family "Bacterial small subunit ribosomal RNA". The record is from RNAcentral. Lineage: Eukaryota; Metazoa; Chordata; Actinopteri; Chaetodontiformes; Chaetodontidae.
CAAAAGUUUGGUCCUGACUUUACUAUCAACUCUAGCUAAAUUUACACAUGCAAGUAUCCGCGCCCCUGUGAGAAUGCCCUUCAUUCCCUGCUCGGGAAUAAGGAGCUGGUAUCAGGCACACUUAAAUGAAGCCCACGACACCUUGCUCAGCCACACCCUCAAGGGAAUCCAGCAGUGAUAGACAUUAAGCCAUGAGUGAAAACUUGACUUAGUUAAUGCUAUGCCGGGCCGGUAAAACUCGUGCCAGCCACCGCGGUUAUACGAGAGGCCCAAGUUGUUAGUUGUCGGCGUAAAGAGUGGUUAAGACAAAAAUAAACUAAAGCCGAAUGCCCUCAGAACUGUUAUACGUUCCCGAAGGUAAGAAGCCCAACUACGAAAGUGGCUUUAUGAGAUCUGAUCCCACGAAAGCUAGGGUACAAACUGGGAUUAGAUACCCCACUAUGCCUAGCCGUAAACAUCGACAGUCCACCACGCCCACUGUCCGCCCGGGGACUACGAGCACCAGCUUAAAACCCAAAGGACUUGGCGGUGCUUUAGAUCCACCUAGAGGAGCCUGUCCUAGAACCGAUAAUCCCCGUUAAACCUCACCCCUCCUUGUUUCUCCCGCUUAUAUACCACCGUCGCCAGCUUACCCUGUGAAGGCCUAAUAGUAAGCAAAAUCGGCACAACCCAAAACGUCAGGUCGAGGUGUAGCGUAUGGAGGGGGAAGAGAUGGGCUACAUUCACUAAUGCAGUGAACACGAAUGGUCACUCUGAAAUGAGUAUCUGAAGGAGGAUUUAGCAGUAAGCAAAAAACAGAGUGUUUUGCUGAAGUUGGCUCUAAAGCGUGCACACACCGCCCGUCACUCUCCCCGAGCUAUCGCGAUAAAAAUAACUAAAACCCUAAAACUGUAAAGGGGAGGCAAGUCGUAACAUGGUAAGUGUACCGGAAGGUGCACUUGGAAAAACC